UUUUCCAUUUCACUACAACAUUUUCCCCAGUACAUUUUAGUGGCUAUGCAGGUGGGAAAGAUUAAAGUUGUCACGAUGUGAAGAGGGCGGGUGGGGGUUGGUACCCUCCUUCUAAAUGAAAUGGCUGAAUUGAAGAAA
This is a small nucleolar RNA of Ochotona princeps (American pika), 138 nucleotides long. RefSeq annotates it as small nucleolar RNA SNORA29. NCBI's taxonomy places the organism in Eukaryota, Metazoa, Chordata, Mammalia, Lagomorpha, Ochotonidae. The transcript has a single exon. The record is from RefSeq and is a predicted model, not a curated record.